AUGCCGGCGCUGGACGCGUGCGUGCUCUGCGCCAAGCGGCUGGCGCGCGACAGCGACGUCUUCAUGUACAGAGGGGACACACCCUUCUGUAGCAAGGAGUGCCGGCACGAGCAGUUGCAGCUCGACGCUGUCUCCGCCAGGCAGGCAGCCCGGAGGCUGCAGAGGUUCUCGGCCGGAGCAGAGUCCGGGCGUGCACACCAUGGGGUGUCCGUCUCGAGCUAA
Molecule: ribosomal RNA, 222 nt
Filed under: Triticum aestivum (bread wheat)
Lineage: Eukaryota; Viridiplantae; Streptophyta; Magnoliopsida; Poales; Poaceae
Description: partial small subunit ribosomal RNA
Source: RNAcentral